UCUUAUAUUUCUUUACAGAGGGAGUAGAUUGGAGAUGCCCUAACUACUCACAAUAUUUUUCACUGCAGUGGUAUAUUCAAUAAAAAGGCUCAAUGUACAUCAACAAUUACAUUACAUUCUGGCAUGAAGUAAUUGAGAUUUAUCAGCAUCCAUAUACAAUUCACAACAGGUACUUUAUCAGCAUCCACAUACAAUUCACAACAGGUACUUUAUCAGCAUCCACAUACAAUUCACAACAGGUACUUUAUCAGCAUCCACAUACAAUUCACAACUGGUACUUCACAGGCAUCCUCGUGAUCCAAAUGCUAAAGCCAAAAAAAGGACAAGAGAAUAAAACUCACGGAGCUAGCUAUGAUAGUUUAACCAUGGAUAACACAUCACCACUUCAUCUUAACAGCCAGCUUUCAGAACUCAGAACUGAUGCCACAGAUAGCUAAAUUUAGAGGGCGGCAUUCACUGGCCACAGCAUCGACCUUCACCAUGUCAACAGAAAACUAGGGAGAAGAGCACUGUUACUCAAUCUUCACAGACAACUAGGGAGAAGAGCACUGUUACUCAAUCUUCACAGACGA
Molecule: long non-coding RNA, 572 nt
Filed under: Triticum aestivum (bread wheat)
Lineage: Eukaryota; Viridiplantae; Streptophyta; Magnoliopsida; Poales; Poaceae
Description: long non-coding RNA (TAES_LNC016171)
Source: RNAcentral